GCGCAGCAGGCGCGAAACCUUCGCAAUGCGGGAAACCGCGACGAGGGGACUCCCAGUGCCUACGCUCAGCGUAGGCUGUUCCCGAGCCUAGAAAGCUCGGGGAGUAAGGGCUGGGUAAGACGGGUGCCAGCCGCCGCGGUAAUACCCGCAGCCCGAGUGGUGGCCACUAUUAUUGGGCCUAAAGCGUCCGUAGCCGGCCCGGUAAAUGCCUGGGUAAAUCGUGAGGCCUAACCUCACGAAUUCCGGGUAGACUGCCGGGCUAGGGACCGGAGGAGGGAGAGGGUACUCCGAGGGGUAGGGGUGAAAUCCUGUAAUCCCUGGAGGACCACCGGUGGCGAAGGCGCUCUCCUAGGACGGGUCCGACGGUGAGGGACGAAAGCCAGGGGAGCGAACCGGAUUAGAUACCCCCGUAGU
RNAcentral lists this ribosomal RNA (414 nucleotides) under uncultured microorganism. RNAcentral's name for it is "bacterial SSU rRNA". It matches the Rfam family "Archaeal small subunit ribosomal RNA", at positions 330 to 745 of the family's 1478-position model. The record is from RNAcentral.